Long non-coding RNA from Varanus komodoensis (Komodo dragon), 149 nucleotides. RefSeq lists it as uncharacterized. The record is from RefSeq and is a predicted model, not a curated record. Lineage: Eukaryota; Metazoa; Chordata; Lepidosauria; Squamata; Varanidae. The transcript has 4 exons.
UCUUCCCUGCAGUGGAGGGCAGGACACAUUCCAAUGGGGCAAAGCUCAAGGAACUGCGUUUUAGGUUGAAUGUCAGGAAGCACUUAUUGAUGAUUAGGACCCCUAGGAUAUGGAAUGGGGUUCCACAUCGAGGUGAGGCCAUUCAAGGA